This 229-nucleotide unclassified non-coding RNA is filed under the name plant metagenome. RNAcentral's name for it is "partial contains small subunit ribosomal RNA, internal transcribed spacer 1, and 5.8S ribosomal RNA". The record is from RNAcentral.
UCUCCGUAGGUGAACCUGCGGAGGGAUCAUUACAGAGUUCUCGCCCUCGCGGGUAGAUCUCCCACCCACUGUUAUCGUUACCGUGUUGCGUUGGCGGGCCGCCGGGCCCCGCUCGCCCGCCGGCUCCGGCUGGCGCGCGACCGCCAGAGGCCCAGCAUACUCUGAAUGUUAGUGUCGUCUGAGUACUAUAUAAUAGUUAAAACUUUCAACAACGGAUCGCUUGGUUCUG